Molecule: long non-coding RNA, 516 nt
Organism: Silurus meridionalis
Lineage: Eukaryota; Metazoa; Chordata; Actinopteri; Siluriformes; Siluridae
Exons: 6
Source: RefSeq, a predicted model, not a curated record
CACACACCAUGCACCACAAGUGAUGGUGAAAAAUUGUGAAAUAUACUGAUGGAUGUAUUGUAUUAUUGGACCCUCCAGAAAGAACUGUCACAGUUGAUGAAGAUGAUGAUGAAGAGACCACAUCUGCUGUGACAGAAGUGGACAAUGCUGGUAGAUCCACUGAGUACAUACCUAGGGAUUUGCCCACAGAUGAGGGUCCUUCAACCUCAGCACACAAUCUAAGCAGGUUGCCAGCAAAGGAGCUGUAUAAGGUCCAUCUUUAAAAACAAAUAAGAAAAAGUGACAUGGAGAUGGACCUUAUACCGCUUCAAAUGGAAGAGAAAAGACUCCUCAUUAAAAAAGCAGCACUGGAAAUUGAAUUACUGGAGCAUCGCCUUAAGGAAAUAAAGAAAUAAACUGCCUGGCAGACCAGUGAAAAAAAUUAAUAAAAGUGAUUUUGACAGACCCUGUCUCUCAAAAGUCUUCUGUCUCUGUUGGCCUCUAAAAUCUGUAGGUGUUCCUCUGGGCCAUCUUCCU